CCAGAAGUGAGCCACCGCACCUGGCCUCCAUUCAUUUUCUUAUGCUCUUUCUGGCACGAAUAUAUUAAAAGUAGUAAUUAUAGUGAAAAUGCAUAGCCCUUAUUUAGCACUAGCCCUCUGCCAGGUACUGUGCUUUAUCUCAUUUAAUUCUCCAAAGCAAAAACAAGACAAAAGAAUGUGUUAGGUACUUUUAUCGAGCCUGCUGGAACAUAAGAGGAAAUUACAGCGUGGAGAGGUUAAAAGAUUUCCCAAGGUCAUACAAAUAAUUGAAAAAAUCUGAAACUUAAACUCAGAUCUUUCUACUUCUUCAUAUUCUUGUUCCUAACCAAAAUGCUAUAUUGCUUUCACUUUGCUUGUCUUUGUUGCCUUUCUCUGUUAUUAUCUGUUGAAAUUGUUUUUUUCCCCAGUCUGAAUUUUUAUGUUAUUCAUAAAAUGUGUUCUAGUCUUUUAAUCCAGAAAUAUUUUUUAUUGACUCUAAUCUCUCACUGACCCCAACAGAACAUCUGGUACUUCAUGAUAGAUGGUCAAUAUGUGUUUUAAGUAAAGGAGAUGGAUAUUUAAGUUGGAGCAUAGGUAUCUGGUUAUUUUAUUUCACAAUUGCUGUAAAGAGAAAAAUAAAAAUUAUUCAGUAUUUUGCAGAAAAAUGGCACUGUAUAAAUAUUUGCUAAAUUGAAUGAAUUACUGAAAAUUCAGUAAAUCAGCCUCUUAGGUGUCUACUUCUCUUUCUACUGUCCUUAUUGUAGAUCAUAGCUAUAUAUGUAAUAGCAAAAUGUCAAAUCAUUUACUCAAUAUAUGUGGGAUGCCCAAUACUCUCCGUGUGAAUUGUGCAGCUGAGCAGACCUGGGGUUCUAUUUGUUCUAUAACUGAUAGCAGAAAACGGCCCAGUCUUAAACGUUUGCAGGGGAAUUCAGAAUUUCCAGCUACACCACCAGCUGUAACUAUAGCUUCCCUUCCACAGAGGUGCUGUUUUAUGGGCUUUCAGACUGAAAACAAAUCUGUUUCAUGGUAUGUCUGUUUUGUCUGUCCUCAAAUGUGCAUGGUACUGAAGAAGAGCAAGGACAGGGCAUGAAGGUGGAAAAGAGAGGAGACGCAGCAGCAAUGAGGAGAAGAUGAAGGGCAAUGAUGGAGACUAGGUUAAAUUAAAUGCCAGAACUCCCAAUCCUUGGAGGCUAUUGUGGAUGCUGUCAUCCUGAGUCAGCAACAUAAAUAAAUAAGUCAGAUCUGGCUGAACUCUGGUGUCCUGCACGUUCUAUUCAAAUGAGGAAUUCUAGGAUUCUAUUUUAUUUAAAAAAUUAAAAAUUUUGGAUAUAAGUCAUUUUAUCAAUUGCAGAGUUUCUCAAACAAGAGUAUGUGAGCAUUUUCCCUAUGCUUGUGUAUUCUCCAAGAAAAUGAUCAAUUUUAUAAUUAUAUUUUGUUUAUAGCUCUAAAACAGUAAUUUAUGCAUGUCAGGGUUAUCUGGGUCUCCUGAUGCAGUCUGAUCAUGCAAUUUUUGUAGCACACUUUUGAUGAAUUAAUAAUCUGAUUAGACUGAGGCAGUGCUAUUUAUUUAUCUUGAGUUAAGGGGAAAAGACUAGAUUUGUCUUCCAGAUGGAAUUCAGGCAUUGCUUGUGUGUCCCCUACAGGUACUCCACCUGAAUAACUCAGGCAUGUGCCUGUUGGUGCUCCCACAUGUGUAACUCAGGUGUGUGUCUGUAUGUUUUCCAUGGAUUAUGUAUAUAACUCUGACAUGUGUCUGUGUUUCCUACAUGCACUGUGUAUCUAACUUAGGUGUGAGCCUGUCAGUGUUGUGUUUGUGCACUGCAUGUAUAACUCAGGUGUGUGCCUGCAAUGAUUGCAUAUGUGCACUAUUUAUAUAACUCAGGUGUGUGUACAUGUUUUCUAUGUUCACUGCAUGUGUAACUCAGACGUUUCCUUGUGUUUCCUAUGUAUGCUAAACAUGUAACUCAGACAUUGCUCUUAUGUUCUCCAUAUGUACACUACAGAUAUAACUUAAACAUAUUUCACAC
Molecule: long non-coding RNA, 2006 nt
Organism: Sapajus apella (tufted capuchin)
Lineage: Eukaryota; Metazoa; Chordata; Mammalia; Primates; Cebidae
Exons: 3
Source: RefSeq, a predicted model, not a curated record